AAAACUCCUACGGGAGGCAGCAGUGGGGAAUAUUGCACAAUGGGGGAAACCCUGAUGCAGGCGACGCCGCGUGGAGGAAGAAGGUCUUCGGAUUGUAAACUCCUGUUGUUGAGGAAGAUAAUGACGGUACUCAACAAGGAAGUGACGGCUAACUACGUGC
This 160-nucleotide ribosomal RNA is filed under the name uncultured bacterium. RNAcentral describes it as "partial 16S ribosomal RNA". It matches the Rfam family "Bacterial small subunit ribosomal RNA", at positions 332 to 508 of the family's 1533-position model. The record is from RNAcentral.